CUGAACUGAACUGAAGCCCACUGUGCUCCUUUCCCCGUGGGAGUCUAGUGUGCAGUAGCUGCAAACAGCAGCCUCCUCUGUAGUUUUUGCAGCCUGCUGCCUGUAUGGGUUGCUCUAAGGGACCCUGCAGACAGCC
This 136-nucleotide small nucleolar RNA is filed under the name Moschus moschiferus (Siberian musk deer). Its description in RNAcentral is "Small nucleolar RNA SNORA70 (ENSMMSG00000015822.1)". It matches the Rfam family "Small nucleolar RNA SNORA70". From Rfam's summary of the family: snoRNA U70 seems to be exclusive to mammals and is a member of the H/ACA class of snoRNA which contain H (ANANNA) and ACA box motifs. H/ACA box snoRNAs are involved in the conversion of uridines to pseudouridines (5-ribosyluracil) a constituent of structural RNAs (transfer, ribosomal, small nuclear, and small nucleolar). Lineage: Eukaryota; Metazoa; Chordata; Mammalia; Artiodactyla; Moschidae. The record is from Rfam by way of RNAcentral.